Molecule: non-coding RNA, 46 nt
Organism: Strongyloides papillosus
Lineage: Eukaryota; Metazoa; Nematoda; Chromadorea; Rhabditida; Strongyloididae
Source: Rfam
CCAACGGCCCUCUUUAGGGCCACCCAAAAGAUACUCAUUUUUUUUG